CCUACGGGAGGCAGCAGUCGAGAAUAGUCUACAAUGGUCGAAAGACUGAUAGUGCGACGCCGCGUGAACGAAGAAGCCCUUCGGGGUGUAAAGUUCUUUUAUAUGUGAGCAGUGCUUCUUAUGUGAACAGCAUGGGGAGAGAGAUAUUAGCAUAUGAAUAAGCAGCGGCUAACUCCGUGCCAGCAGCCGCGGUAAU
Molecule: ribosomal RNA, 196 nt
Filed under: uncultured bacterium
Lineage: Bacteria
Description: partial 16S ribosomal RNA
Rfam family: Bacterial small subunit ribosomal RNA
Source: RNAcentral